GACGAACGCUGGCGGCGUGCUUAACACAUGCAAGUCGAGCGGUAAGGCCCUUUCGGGGGUACACGAGCGGCGAACGGGUGAGUAACACGUGGGUGACCUGCCCUCAGCUCUGGGAUAAGCCUGGGAAACCGGGUCUAAUACUGGAUAUGACUCCAUGACGCAUGUUGUGGGGUGGAUAGCCUUGUGCGGCUGAGGAUGGGCCCGCGGCCUAUCAGCUUGUUGGUGGGGUGAUGGCCUACCAAGGCGACGACGGGUAGCCGGCCUGAGAGGGCGACCGGCCACACUGGGACUGAGACACGGCCCAGACUCCUACGGGAGGCAGCAGUGGGGAAUCUUGCGCAAUGGGCGAAAGCCUGACGCAGCGACGCCGCGUGAGGGAUGACGGCCU
This 388-nucleotide ribosomal RNA is filed under the name uncultured bacterium. RNAcentral describes it as "bacterial SSU rRNA". It matches the Rfam family "Bacterial small subunit ribosomal RNA", at positions 28 to 417 of the family's 1533-position model. The record is from RNAcentral.